GUGGAACAUUCCAUGCGAAGAGAGUCCUGAUUGGCAUCCAGCAGGGGGCGGGCGCCCAGGUCACCAGGGCGGGCGCCCUGGGCGUGGCCCCUUUCGGCCUCCGUCUUCUUCCCGUGGCUUCUCGAGUCUUCUAGAUGGUAGAAAAUUGCACGGUGCGUUGAUAUCUCUAUGUAAUCCCGACAUGUGGGCCUUUCUUCCUUAUUUCCUGAUAACCCCCUGCAGAAAUAGAUAAACAACAAAACUCGUGGAAUUCUGUCAGAUCAAACCCUAAUUCUAGGUGUUGGUUGUAUAUUGGUCCUUUCCCUUGUUUAUUUGAUAAUUAAAAUUGAUACUUAAGAACCGUCAACAAAUACCCCCAUACUUAGGCUUUUACUCGUCCUCGAGAAAAGGAUGGUUAAGAACAAUAUCUGGGGUAAAACAUUUUAAAGCAUUCUUUAUAUUUGCAGGGUGUUAAAAAUUCCACUGUGUACCAUAGUCAGGGAUGUUUAUGGUUAAGAGUAAAGAUCCUUUCUUCUCAAUCCUGUCACUUGGAGUUUUUGUAUAUUUUUGAAAGAAAGUUAGCAUACCUUUUUAUCCUCAUAGGUUCUCUCAGAUUACUCAUUAUCUUUUAUAUAUCUCACUGAGGUUGUUUUAUUUUGCAAAAUUUCUCAAGCAUACUUACUUUGCAUUUAUUGCCUGAUCAAAACGGGAUCCGAGGAGGGGAAUGUCAUACUCUUAGAUCAAAGACUUUGGAAAUUAAAAUCUUUGUCAACUCUUGCUGGCAUAUUGCUUAUUAGAGGGACCAUGGGCUAUCAUUUUCUCUUUUUCUUUUUUUAAGUGGAUACCGAGGUACCCCUAAUUCUACUGCCGGACACUUGUCCAUUUUUUUUCUGCGAGGUUGUCGAACACUUGCUCCUUUUUAUUUCCUCGAAAUAUCUCUAUUUUUGCAUAGCCCAUGCCUCUAAUGCAAUAAUACUUCGGAAGAGCGAAUCUUUCUGAAUAAAUGUCUUGAUCUUAUGUGGCA
Molecule: long non-coding RNA, 1003 nt
Filed under: Sorghum bicolor (sorghum)
Lineage: Eukaryota; Viridiplantae; Streptophyta; Magnoliopsida; Poales; Poaceae
Description: long non-coding RNA (SBIC_LNC000220)
Source: RNAcentral